This 104-nucleotide small RNA is filed under the name Pluralibacter pyrinus. Its description in RNAcentral is "Enterobacter pyrinus Salmonella enterica Typhi npcRNA 44". It matches the Rfam family "Salmonella enterica Typhi npcRNA 44". Lineage: Bacteria; Pseudomonadati; Pseudomonadota; Gammaproteobacteria; Enterobacterales; Enterobacteriaceae. The record is from Rfam by way of RNAcentral.
CUUUAAAAAUCUGGAUCAAGCUGAAAAUUGAAACGACACACUUAAGGUGUGUUCGAGUCUCUCAAAUUAUCGCAAUGCGGCGAUGUUUUACGAAACAUCUUCGG